This is a long non-coding RNA of Oncorhynchus keta (chum salmon), 551 nucleotides long. RefSeq lists it as uncharacterized. The transcript has 2 exons. NCBI's taxonomy places the organism in Eukaryota, Metazoa, Chordata, Actinopteri, Salmoniformes, Salmonidae. The record is from RefSeq and is a predicted model, not a curated record.
UGGGUUGUACCGUGGCGGAGAUCUUUGUGGGCUAUACUCGGCCUUGUCUCAGGAUGGACCUGAGCCCUAGGACCAUGUCCCAGGACUACCUGACAUGAGGACUCCUUGCUGUCCCCAGUCCACCUGGCCAUGCUCCUGCUCCAGUUUCAACUGACCUGAGCCCUAGGACCGUGCCCCAGGACUACCUGACAUGAAGGCUCCUUGCUGUCCCCAGUCCACCUGACUGUGCUGCUGCUCCAGUUUCAACUGUUCUGCCUUAUUAUUAUUCGACCAUGCUGGUCAUUUAUGAACAUUUGAACAUCUUGGUCAUGUUCUGUUAUAAUCUCUACCCGGCACAGCCAGAAGAGGACUGGCCACCCCACAUAGCCCGGUUCCUCUCUAGGUUUCUUCCUAGGUUUUGGCCUUUCUAGGGAGUUUUUCCUAGCCACCGUGCUUUUACACCUGCAUUGUUUGCUGUUUGGGGUUUUAGGCUGGGUUUCUGUACAGCACUUUGAGAUAUCAGCUGAUGUACGAAGGGCUAUAUAAAUAAAUUUGAUUUUGAUUUGAUUUGA